UGUGGUUGAUCCUACUAGUGUCAAAAGCUUGUCUCAAAGAUUAAGCCAUGCAUGUGUAAGUAUAACUAAUUCAAACUGUGAAACUACAAAAUUGCUCAUUAAAUCAAUUAUAGUUUGUUUGAUGGUAUCUACUACUCAAAUGACCGUAGUAAUUCUAGAGCUAAUACGUGCAACGAACCCCAACUUCUAGAAGGGAUGAAUUUAUUAAAUAAAAGGUUGAUGUGAGCUUUGACCAUUUCUCUAAUGAUUCAUAGUAACUUAACAAUUUACGCGGCCUUUAUACCGAUGAUGCAUCAUUCAAAUUUCUACCCUAUCAACUUUCGAUGGUAGGAUAGUUGCCUACCAUGGUGGUGAAGGGUAACAGAGAAUUAGGGUUCAAUUUCGAAAAGAGAGCCUAAGAAAUGACUAGCAAAUCCAAAAAAGGUAACAAGUGUGCAAAUUACCAAAAUCCUAACAUGAGGUGGUAAUCACAAUAAAUAACAAUAUUGGGCUCUAUGAGUUUGGUAAUUUAAAUGAGUACAAUCUAAAUCCCUUAAUAAGGAUCCAUUGGAGGGCAAGUCUAGUGUGAGUAGUUAUGGUAAUACCAGUUUUAAUGGGACAUAUUUAAGUUGUUGCAGUUAAAAAGCUCAUGGUUGAAAUUAGGGUUAGGUCAUCUGACCUAUCCACAGUGACCAUCUAUCUACUCAUCCUUCUGCUAAAGAUGUGCUCCUAGCCUUAACUGGUCAGGUCAUUCCUCUAAUGCUAUUGUUUUGAAAAAAAUAGAGUGCUCAAAGUAGGCCUAUGCUUGUAUACAUUAGCAUAAGAUAACAUUAUAGGAUUUCUAUCAUAUUGUGGUGGCCUUUGAGAUCAAAGUAAUGAUUAACAAGGAUAGUCGAGGGCAUUCGUAUUUCAUAGUCAGAGGUGAAAUUUUUGGAUUUAUGAAAGAUGAACAAUUGUGAAAGUAUUUACCAAAGAUGUUUUCAUUAAUCAAGAAUGAAAGUUGUGAGCUUGAAGAUGAUUAGAUACCAUCCUAGUCUCAACCAUAAAUGAUGUCGACCAAGGAUUGAUGGAUGUUACUUUCAAGACUCUAUUGACACCUUAUGAGAAAUCAAAGUCUUUAGGUUCUGGGGGGAGUAUGGUUACAAGGCUAAAAAUUAAAAGAAUUUAUGGAAGGGCACCACUUGGAGUGCAACCUAUGGCUUAAUUUGACUCAAUACAAGGAAACUUACCAGGUCUAGACAUAGUAAAGGUUGAUAGAUUGAGAGCUCUUUCUUGAUUCUAUGGAAGAUGGUGCAUGGUAGUUCUUAGUUGGUGGAUUGAUUUGUCUAGUUAAAUCCAUUAACGAACAAGACCUCAGCUUACUAACCAUCGCACACUGAGAGGGCAAGCGUGCUUUCAUGCCCUGAGCCCCUUCUAGCCCUGGGUGUGUGCGAUGGUUAAUUUGUUUUGCCUCUCGAAUCGGCAAAAUGAUUGGUAUCAUCAUCAGUGGCCAAAUAACGAGCCCUCGAUGCAUAUCGCACUAAAGAACUAGAAUGAAAAAGAACACGUGUGAUGUUGCUAUCCCUUUCGCAGUGUGUUCG
Molecule: ribosomal RNA, 1559 nt
Filed under: Durio zibethinus
Lineage: Eukaryota; Viridiplantae; Streptophyta; Magnoliopsida; Malvales; Malvaceae
Description: SSU rRNA
Rfam family: Eukaryotic small subunit ribosomal RNA
Source: RNAcentral